ACCUAAUAAAAGUUCGGCUCCACGACUUAUGCAAAGCAUGGCUUCCCUCGCUUCCCUCGUUUCCCGCUCAUUGGAUGUUCUUCUAUUCUAGUGAAGGGCCAUCAAUUACUCAACGAGAAUUAUCUUUCUUACCGGGAGCAGCGGGAAGGCGAAUGCUAUGCAAGGCGAAUGCUAUGCGAGGCGUUGUCCUUCGUGCCUUCAUCUUCAGGGGGAGAAGGACCAUCCAACCAUAGAUUUCUUGAAGGUUCUCGGCGACUUCUCUCUUGUCACGAAUUUUGUAUCUUAGGCGUAUUUCCUUUCCUUGCUACCAAGGAAUGAAUGGUUGGACAUUUUGGGUGGGGGUGGUUGGAGAAACAAACAAAUGUGACCAAAUGAUAAGUUGUGGAGAACUUAGACAAAAUCUAAAGUCUUCCUCCUUUAGUCAUUUGCGAAUUUGUUUUUGAUGCAAUGCCUGAAAAAAACAAAUGUCUUCUUUCUUCUGUUUGCUUCAGAUAAUACGAAAUCUGUAGAACACAGUCCUCUUUCUCUAAUGUUGUUGAACAAGUUCCCCAUGUUUUAAGACAUUGUCAACUUCAUCUUUUUCUAGAUUUUUAGAAUUCUUUGGAUUUAAUAUUCUUUGAUGAAAA
Long non-coding RNA from Dendrobium catenatum, 626 nucleotides. RefSeq lists it as uncharacterized. NCBI's taxonomy places the organism in Eukaryota, Viridiplantae, Streptophyta, Magnoliopsida, Asparagales, Orchidaceae. The record is from RefSeq and is a predicted model, not a curated record. The transcript is spliced from 2 exons.